AGAACGAACGCUGGCGGCAGGCUUAACACAUGCAAGUCGAGCGCCCCGCAAGGGGAGCGGCAGACGGGUGAGUAACGCGUGGGAAUCUACCCAUCCCUACGGAACAACUCCGGGAAACUGGAGCUAAUACCGUAUACGCCCUUCGGGGGAAAGAUUUAUCGGGGAUGGAUGAGCCCGCGUUGGAUUAGCUAGUUGGUGGGGUAAUGGCCUACCAAGGCGACGAUCCAUAGCUGGUCUGAGAGGAUGAUCAGCCACACUGGGACUGAGACACGGCCCAGACUCCUACGGGAGGCAGCAGUGGGGAAUAUUGGACAAUGGGCGAAAGCCUGAUCCAGCCAUGCCGCGUGAGUGAUGAAGGCCUUAGGGUUGNAAAGCUCUUUNACCGGUGAAGAUAUUGACGGUA
RNAcentral lists this ribosomal RNA (403 nucleotides) under uncultured Rhizobium sp. RNAcentral describes it as "bacterial SSU rRNA". It matches the Rfam family "Bacterial small subunit ribosomal RNA", at positions 26 to 477 of the family's 1533-position model. The record is from RNAcentral. Lineage: Bacteria; Pseudomonadati; Pseudomonadota; Alphaproteobacteria; Hyphomicrobiales; Rhizobiaceae.